This 1346-nucleotide long non-coding RNA is filed under the name Manihot esculenta (cassava). RNAcentral describes it as "long non-coding RNA (MESC_LNC004676)". The record is from RNAcentral. Lineage: Eukaryota; Viridiplantae; Streptophyta; Magnoliopsida; Malpighiales; Euphorbiaceae.
CGGAAUCUCCGUUGGAAUAUGGAAUUUUGAUGAUGCCAGAGUCUUCUAGAGGGGUGAAAUGUGAUUUCUAAAAUGAUUUUUAGUGAUUUCAUGGUUUUAAAUGAAAAAGAUUUGAGUUUUGAAAAGAAAAGACCGAGGAGGUUUUUGCCAGGUUCGGCCGCCGAAAGUGAAGUUCGGCCGCCGAACAUGAGUUGGUUUUGGGAGCGCUUUUGGCCUCUGAAAGCUAUGUUUGAACAAACCAGGUUCGGCCGCCGAACCUCAAGUUCGGCCGCCGAACAUAGGGGUGUUUUGCAUGCACGUUAGGCCGCCGAAGGAGGUUUGGCUGGCCACCUAUAAAAGCCCCUCAGACCGAAAAUGGGCGAGUUUUCUCCCCAUUCUCGAGCUCAGGUGUGUUUAUGUCCUCCUUUGGUCAUUUUCAUGUUUUUUCUUCAUCCCCUUCAUAUUUUUAUGAGUUCCAUGGUUGUUUUGAAGAGUUUUCAAGCUUAGAUCAAAGUUUUGGGAGCUUGGAGACCCAAGGAGUAGUUUCCUCCCAUCUCCAAGUUAGAGCUCGCACAAACCCUCGAUCUUCAAGAGGUAAGUGUGGAUCUAUGCUUUUCUUUACGUUUCAUGAAGUUUUAAGUGAGUUUUAAGAGGUUUUGAUGAUUGAGUAUGGGUAGAUAUGCAUGUUAGGGUUUAUGUGGGUUUUAUGCCCAAUGUAUGUUCAUGUGAUGUUUGUGUUGGGGUUUAAGUUAGUUUUCAAGCCCCUUGAGCAUAUGGGAGAGAGUAUGCAUGAUUGGGAGAGAGUAUGUGAGGUUUGGUUUGUUUUAGUGGUUUUGGCUUAUGUGGGUCAUAAGCUCGUUAUGUAUGUUUCUUGAUGUUGUUUUUAGGAGUUUAAGCUUGUUUAAGCUCCUUUGUGCAUGGUUAAGGAAGAAUGCAUGUGUUUGAGAAAUUGGGUGCUUGUUUUGGGGUGUAUGGAAGGUUUGGGAGGCUUGAAAUGCACAAAGGCUGAGUUCUGGAUGAACUCAGGUUCGGCCGCCGAAGGUGGUUUCGGCCGCCGAACCUGCCUGAGGAUGCAUGGUUUGGCCGCCUAACCUUGCCCCCGAAAGUUGAGUUUUGGCUUGAAAGCAGACUUUCGGCCGCCGAAGGUGAAGUUCAGCCGCCGAAAGUGCCUGACUUUCGUCUCUGGAGAAGGACUUUCGGCCGCCGAAAGUGCCCGAGUUUCGCCUCUGGAGAGAGGGUUCGGCCGCCGAAGGUGCCGCCGAAAGUGCCCUGUCCAGCCUUUUCAUGAAUGUUUUCUAUGCAUGUUUAAGUGAUGCUUUAGGGGGUUUUUGGGUAGUUGUUUAUGAGUUGUUUAGAGCAUGUUUGGC